AGAUUGAACGCUGGCGGCAUGCCUUACACAUGCAAGUCGAACGGCAGCACGGGAGCAAUCCUGGUGGCGAGUGGCGAACGGGUGAGUAAUAUAUCGGAACGUGCCCAGUCGUGGGGGAUAACGCAGCGAAAGCUGUGCUAAUACCGCAUACGAUCUCUGGAUGAAAGCGGGGGACUCGCAAGAGCCUCGCGCGAUUGGAGCGGCCGAUAUCAGAUUAGCUAGUUGGUGGGGUAAAAGCUCACCAAGGCGACGAUCUGUAGCUGGUCUGAGAGGACGACCAGCCACACUGGAACUGAGACACGGUCCAGACCUCCGUACGGGAGGCAGCGAGUGGGUAAGUUUGGAC
This 346-nucleotide ribosomal RNA is filed under the name uncultured soil bacterium. Its description in RNAcentral is "bacterial SSU rRNA". It matches the Rfam family "Bacterial small subunit ribosomal RNA", at positions 26 to 369 of the family's 1533-position model. The record is from RNAcentral.